GAUAUGGGAUCGGCAAGAGAAAUGGGCGUUAUUGCUUGGUCUGCAGUCGUUUUCUCUUCACUUGGUUAUUGUAUCUAAGCCUGAUGUUCACAAUGAUUCUACUGAUCUGCUCCGAAGAAUCCAUGUUGGCCUUGCCAAACAAUAGGAAAAAGGAAUCCAUGCUGACAGUUGUACUAUGAUCUUCUCCAGCAUUUCAUGCAGCUGAUUUCUUUUUUGUAUUUUUGGUUCUGGUGAAAGCUAGUAGUGCAUGUCAUGAGUUUCAUCCUUUUCAUGGAUCUCCAUCUGAUCUAGCAGUACUAAUUUUGUAGUGGUAGCUCUUGAAAUAGAGGAUACUGAUCACUAAACAAUUGCCUGUGCAAUUUCGCUAGUCGAGUACCCGUGGAGUGUAUAGAAUUUUUUGCUGUAGAGAUUGCUAGAUGCUGGUCGUCACACCUAUUCAAAUUUGUGCACAUUUAGACCUGUUCCAAAUGAAAGUUUUUUAGGGAAAUGUUCCAAAUGAAACUGAUCCCACCAGUAAUGGCAUUGAGUGGUCUUUCGCACGUGAAGUUUUGGCAGGGGGAGUUUGGAAUCCCUGCUCGAGAUCCCGUGAUCGCGGGAUGAAAAGGAUAGAAUCCUCUGCAUUUUGGUUCAAACAAAUGGAACAGAAGGAAAUAUGAAGCAAGUUUCCUUUGAUCUCUAUUUUAAAGGACAAGAAACACGUGAAUUUUACAAUUCACUUGCACCUCCUUUUCAAAUUACUACGCAUUUAGAGUUAUUGAUUUACGCAUCACACAUGAACUACUCCCUCCAUUUCACAAUGUAGUGCUUCCUCUAUCCACGUGCUUUAAUUUUGACCGUAAAUUUAACUACCAAGACUGAUUGCGGUGGGAGCAAAAAUUAUAUCAGUGAAUUCGUACUCGAAAGAAGUUUUCAAUUAUAUAAUUUUUUCUUCUGUUGUAGUUGGUCUCGUUGGUUAAAUUUAUGGUUAAAGUUGGACCUCGGGAAGCGCGGGCGCACUGUAUUUUGGAAUGGAGGGAGUAAUAUUUAUGGGGUUGGAGACUUUGCCAAAGCAUGCACAUCUUAGGCCCUGUUUGGUUCAUAAGUCCUAGGACUUUUUCUAGUCCCAACUAAAAAGUCUCUAGUCCCUAAAAAGUCCCUCCUUGUUUGUUUGCAGAGACUAAAAAGUCACUAGUCUCUUUCUAGAGGUUACUAGAAGAACGCCCGUGCGUUGCAACGGGGCCACAUUAACUUUAAGAGUUCAAUAUUAAUCAUGUUAAUAAUACAUUUAAUAUUCUCAUACAUAUCAAGUGACACUGGCGACCUUUUUUGUCAAUUUAGUAACGGGCUCAGUUGCAACGGGCUCUUUAUACAUAUCAGACAACUCGCUACUACUUAAACUACAACUAUGGCUAUCAAUAUUUUUUUGUCAAUUUAGCUCAGCAAUUGUGCCUGGCUUAAUAGACUGCUUUGCAUUCACCCCCUCAGAAAACAGAGAGAACCAACUCAACAUGUCAAAAGAUUAACAGAAAUUUCAUUUGUAUGACAUGAACAUAUAGCAGGAACACCAACACAUAGAUCAGCAGAGAGCAGAGCACAGCCUGCACACACUCGGGCCAUCUAUAUCAUACACACACAGCAACGCACACACGCAUCACGCUGGCAUACACAUACAGAAAAGCAGGCACACACGCAUCAUGCGCAUUGGCCGGUGGGACGCACGCAGAGCAAGUACGUACGCACAGAGAGCAAGCUAGCAAGCACGCACGCGUCCAACCCCGCCGCUGCAUGCGCUGGCAGAAGGUGAGGCAGCAAGGGAGACUGCACAUUGAAGCUGUCCAUGCAAGGCUGGAGGUGCUGGGCCGGCGACGGCGGUGUCGGGAUGGCUCUUGAUUCGUUCCCGGUGGCGUGGAGCUUGGGGCGGCAACGCGGCGAUAGCUAGUGCUCGGGGAUGGGGGUUUGGGGCGGGGGCAGUCGACCCGAUGGCUGGCGAAGUUAACGGGCUUGGGCGGCUGGAAAUUCGGCGGGUGGCGGCGGCACAGCGCGAGGAUGGGACAGGCGGAAAACCUAGCGGGCGUUCAACUACCAAUACCCACGCCUUUUUUUAGGGGAAUUGCUUGUGAAAAUAACGUGCGACGAUGACUUAGCGAGCGGAUCCCCUUAAAAAAGAUAUAGCGAGCAGAUUCCCUUAAAACUGGUAGGAAUGGAUACGAUUGAUGACGUUGAUAAAUAGUGGUGAAUGUUGGCCUAAUUUACUAUCAUCAUGCAUGGAAAUGAACCAUCAAGAAAAAGAAUACUUCCUAUUACUACACUCAUAGGAAGCUUCCUAAUCUCUGCUACCAAACCGUUUCUGCCCAAACAAGGAAGGAAAGUUAUGGACGUGAUUCGGAAGGAAACAAACGUUAUGAAGAUUAAUUAAUUUAGAUUUGAUCUUUAGAGAUUGAUUAUGAUUGAUUCUUUUACAUAAAGACAUUACUAAAUAAUUUGCGUCAGUAUGGAAAGUUCUGAUCCGUUCAGUUUUUUUCGUUGUGUGAGAGGGUGAAGUGAAAAUAAACCGAUGAAGUGGGGGAGGCGACGAAAAAAAUCUACGAUGGUUAACCUACGAAAAAAAACCGGACGAAAGUGGUGGGACGAAAAAAAACCUGGAAGCGAGACUACCAAGUGGUGGCGAUAGCUAGUGCUCGGGGAUGGGGGUUUGGGGCGGGGGCAGUCGACCCGAUGGCUGGCGAAGUUAACGGGCUCGGGCGGCUGGAAAUUCGGCGGGUGGCGGCGGCACAGCGCGAGGAUGGGACAGGCGGAAAACCUAGCGGGCGUUCAACUACCAAUACCCACGCCUUUUUUUAGGGGAAUUGCUUGUGAAAAUAACGUGUGACGACGACUUAGCGAGCGGAUCCCCUUAAAAAAGACAUAGCGAGCAGAUUCCCUUAAAACUGGUAGGAAUGGAUACGAUUGAUGACGUUGAUAAAUAGUGGUGAAUGUUGGCCUAAUUUAUUAUCAUCAUGCAUGGAAACGAAUCAUCAAAAAAAAAGAAUACUUCCUAUUACUACACUCAUAGGAAGCUUCCUAAUCUCUGCUACCAAACCGUUUCUGCCCAAACAAGGAAGGAAAGUUAUGGACGUGAUUCGGAAGGAAACAAACGUUAUGAAGAUUAAUUAAUUUAGAUUUGAUCUUUAGAAAUUGAUUGUGAUUGAUUCUUUUGCAUAAAGACAUUACUAAAUAAUUUUCGUCAGUAUGGAAAGUUCUGAUCCGUUCAGUUUUUUCGUUGUGUGAGAGGGUGAAGUGAAAAUAAACCGAUGAACUGGGGGAGGCGACGAAAAAAAUCUACGAUGGUUAACCUACGAAAAAAAUCCGGACGAAAGUGGUGGGACGAAAAAAAACCUGAAAGCGAAACUACCAACUGCUCCAUUAAAAGUAGAGAUUAAAUGACCAUAUUGCCCCUAGUAUAUAGAAAAAUAACAAUCAAACAACACCAUAGGGUGGCGGGCCAUUAAAUGCAUGGAGGGGCAUUGUUAGAAAAGUCCCAAAAAGUCCCAAAAAAGACUCUCUUUGAGAGUCUUCUUCAUUUAGUCCCAAAUGUCUAGUUUAGUCCCUAAAAAGUCCCUCCCAUUUGGUAAAAAAGUCUUUAAGAGGGACUUUUUCUAGUCUCUACACAAAGAAGUCCCUGAAAACAAACACCCCCUUAUACUCGGGAAUUCAUUGAUAGUGACUUUUGAACUUCAGGGAAUGUUUAGGGUUUGACUUUGAUUUGACCAUUUUUAUUGGAAUUCAUGUGUUUUUUCCUAUUCCUUUGAACCAGUUCAGGGCCUUUGAUUCAAAGAAAAUCCAUCGAACUAGUCAGUCAACAAAGUUGUCCUGAGCAAAGACGUGCCAGUCUUAAUGUUUAUUCGCAUGCCAUCCUUGGAAGCAAAUCCAGUACUCCCUUCAUUUCACAAUAUAGUGUAAUCAUGCUUUUCAAGAUCUAAAUUUGACCAUAAAUUUAACCAACGAAACUCACUGCAGCGGGGGCAAAAAAUAUACCACUAAAUUCGCAGUCGGUCUCGUUGAUUAAAUGUAUGGUCAAACUUAGUUCUCGAAAAACGGGGAUGCACUACAUUGUGAAAUGAAGGGAAUACUUUUCAUAGAGGCAACGAUUUCGGCAUAUGAAACACCAACAACCCUGAACAUCUCCUUUCUAAGGGUCAGUUCUUUUGGGCGGCUUAAAAAAUAAGCUGCCUUUCCCCAGCUUAAAAAAUAAGCCACUCCCAAAAUUUAUGGAGGCUUCUAGAUUAGUAAUCCCAUAACUAGUUCAGAAGCUCCAAUAAAUAAGGAAGGGGGCUUAUGACAAAAGCUAGGGAGGAGGCGGCUUAAUUUUUAAGCCGCCAAAAGAACUAGCCCUAAAUCAAGAAUGCAAAAGCACUUGAUAUCUCAAAAAUUAUCAGCGGAUGUGAAAAAUCUUAGGGAUGUGGAACUUGUGAGGACGAUUCCAUCUUAAAAAAAGAGGGUUUGAUUGAGCAUCGAGGAACAAAAGAAUUUAGUCUAAAAUACUAAAAAGAAGAUCAGUUUUUUUCAUUCUUCAAGAACUUCAUAUCUUGCUGAGAUCUUCACCCCUAAGAAAAGUUUUCCCAACACGGGAAGGAAGUCCCUUCUAAAUUGGAUUUGUUAUUGUAAGGGGAUUUUUAAGUAUUUAUCUAAAAGAAGGAACAAACGAGAAUAAGAGAAACUUGUUACAUUAAUCCUCUCAUACCUACUAAUUGGUGUACUUGAGAUGUAUUUCCUCUGGCUCCUGAAAAAGACAUUAGAUAGACUGGAUUAGAAGGAUCCGUUAUCCGAAAAUUUGAAUUUAUUUCUUGUUUCAAAUAUUCACUUGUCGCAUACCAUAUCUCAAUAGAUUGGCAUAAUUUUUCUACCGCGUGUACAUCCCCAUAAUAAUAGUGUUUCUUCAAAAGAAAACUCUGUUGUUCCGCGUCUUGGACUGAGGCAAUCCUUCUCUUCUCACUUCAAGAUUGAUCAUCUCGAGCUAUCCGUUGAGGGUGGAAAUUUAAGAAUAAAUAUGUAAGAUCAAUGACUUAGGACUUAGAUGUGCAAUACUUAUGCACAUCUAGAUGUGCUUUAGCAAAACUGAAUUUUGAUAUGGGUUGCAAACGUCAUUAGCCAUUUGCAGGCGACAUGUGUCAUGUUAAUUCUGUUGGGUUUUGUCCUGGUCACCACGAAAUCACUAAUUAAGGAGUACUCAUUGCAAAGAACACUCCACUUUCCCAGGUCGCGACAAGUGGCGCACAUGUAGCGCGCCACUUGUCGCAACCAGGGAGUUUUCCUUUUUUUCAUAGAUUCGUUUAUUCAAAACGUUUUAUCUCUUAAACCGUGCAUCCAAAUCUCGAACCGUUUUCACCACUGGAUUCCUCGCGUCGAGAUCUUCAAAACUAGAUCUCAUGUUGAUAGGUUUUGACGAACUUUUUUUUAACGAAAAAAUCAGACGAAAAAAACCGGGUGAAAAAACCGAACAGGGAGCACGGUUUUUUCCCUUUCCAAAAGAGGCACGCCCGUGCCUCUCGCGAAAUCACAACCGUGCCUCUCGUGAAAACAAAACCGUGACUCUCGUGGAAGAAGAAAAAACAGAAAACAUGUUUUUUUCGUUUCCGAGAGGCACGACCGUGACUCUCGCGAAGGCACAACCGUGCCUCUCGCGAAAGCAAAACCGUGACUCUCGGGAAAGAAAAAAAGCAGAAAACACGUAUUUUUCCCUUUCCUAGAGGCACGGCCGUGACUUUCACGAAAGCACAACCGUGCCUCUCGCGGAAGCAAAACCGUGACUCUCACGAAAAAAAACAGAAAAUGUGUUUUGUUUUUCCCUUUCCUAGAGGCACGGUCGUGACUUUCACGAAAGCACAACCGUGCCUCUCACAGAAGCAAAACCGUGACUCUCACGAAAGAAAAAAAACAGAAAACACGUUUUGUUUUUCCCUUUUCCGAGAGGCACGGCCGUGACUCUUGCAAAAGCACAACCGUGCCUCUCGCGGAAGCAAAACCGUGACUCUCACGAAAAAAAAA
Molecule: long non-coding RNA, 6003 nt
Filed under: Triticum aestivum (bread wheat)
Lineage: Eukaryota; Viridiplantae; Streptophyta; Magnoliopsida; Poales; Poaceae
Description: long non-coding RNA (TAES_LNC001783)
Source: RNAcentral